RNAcentral lists this transfer RNA (73 nucleotides) under Dendronephthya gigantea. Its description in RNAcentral is "tRNA-Lys". It matches the Rfam family "tRNA". Rfam says of the family: Transfer RNA (tRNA) molecules are approximately 80 nucleotides in length. Their secondary structure includes four short double-helical elements and three loops (D, anti-codon, and T loops). Further hydrogen bonds mediate the characteristic L-shaped molecular structure. tRNAs have two regions of fundamental functional importance: the anti-codon, which is responsible for specific mRNA codon recognition, and the 3' end, to which the tRNAs corresponding amino acid is attached (by aminoacyl-tRNA synthetases). tRNAs cope with the degeneracy of the genetic code in two manners: having more than one tRNA (with a specific anti-codon) for a particular amino acid; and 'wobble' base-pairing, i.e. permitting non-standard base-pairing at the 3rd anti-codon position. Lineage: Eukaryota; Metazoa; Cnidaria; Anthozoa; Malacalcyonacea; Nephtheidae. The record is from RNAcentral. RNAcentral also lists the same sequence under 1 other name.
GCCCGGUUAGCUCAGUUGGUAGAGCAUCAGACUUUUAAUCUGAGGGCCAUGGGUUCGAGUCCCAUAUCGGGCU